This 451-nucleotide ribosomal RNA is filed under the name uncultured Fibrobacter sp. RNAcentral's name for it is "partial 16S ribosomal RNA". It matches the Rfam family "Bacterial small subunit ribosomal RNA", at positions 341 to 792 of the family's 1533-position model. Lineage: Bacteria; Pseudomonadati; Fibrobacterota; Fibrobacteria; Fibrobacterales; Fibrobacteraceae. The record is from RNAcentral.
ACGGAAGGCAGCAGUAGGGAAUAUUGCACAAUGGGGGAAACCCUGAUGCAGCAACGCCACGUGUGGGAAGAAGCAUUUCGGUGUGUAAACCACUGUCGUGAGGGAAUAAUGCUUGGCCUCGGCCAAGUUGAAUGUACCUCGAAAGGAAGCACCGGCAAACUUCGUGCCAGCAGCCGCGGUAAUACGAGGGGUGCAAGCGUUGUUCGGAAUCACUGGGCGUAAAGGGAGCGCAGGCGGAGAUGCAAGCAGUCUGUACAAUACCGGGGCCCAACCCCGGACCUGCAGACUGGACUGUUUCUCUUGGAUAGUUCAGGGGCAAGCGGAAUUCCUGGUGUAGCGGUGAAAUGCGUAGAUAUUAGGAGGAACACCAGUGGCGAAGGCGGCUUGCUGGACGACAACUGACGCUGAGGCGCGAAAGCGUGGGGAGCAAACAGGAUUAGAUACCCUGGUA